GAAGAUUCUAGGAGCAAUGAUCGAUAGUGACAGAGGAGAUUGAAGGUCUAUAAAGGAGAAGCACAUGCAUUUGUUGAGAGGAGCUAUGGUUCAGUCUCCUCUCACUUAGAGGAAGUAUGAUUGAGGUGAGUGAGUCAUUAUAUUCUGAGUGAAUGAUGCUUGUGUUCGAGUGAUUGUGUUCUUGUUCUGUGAGAGAAGUUUGAGAAUUGAGUGAUGUAAUUGAGAGUUCUUCGAGUAAGAUUAUCUGAUUG
RNAcentral lists this unclassified non-coding RNA (251 nucleotides) under Hevea brasiliensis (rubber tree). Lineage: Eukaryota; Viridiplantae; Streptophyta; Magnoliopsida; Malpighiales; Euphorbiaceae. The record is from RNAcentral.